RNAcentral lists this ribosomal RNA (377 nucleotides) under Gephyromantis enki. RNAcentral's name for it is "partial 16S ribosomal RNA". It matches the Rfam family "Bacterial large subunit ribosomal RNA", at positions 2053 to 2597 of the family's 2925-position model. The record is from RNAcentral. Lineage: Eukaryota; Metazoa; Chordata; Amphibia; Anura; Mantellidae.
GUGAAGAAGCGGGAAUAAAUAGAUAAGACGAGAAGACCCCAUGGAGCUUUAAGCUUACUGCACCUCUAUUUUCUAUAACCUCUUAUUAAACGGAAUACUGCUUACUUAGCUUUAGGUUGGGGUGACCGCGGAGUAUAACAUAACCUCCAUGAUGAACAAAACUAUUUUCUUAUCUAAGAACAACAGUUCUAAGAAUUAGUAUUCUAACAUAAAAUGAUCCGAUAAUCGAUCAACGGACUAAGUUACCCUGGGGAUAACAGCGCAAUCCAUUUCAAGAGCCCCUAUCGACAAAUGGGUUUACGACCUCGAUGUUGGAUCAGGAUAUCCUAGUGGUGCAGCAGCUACUGAAGGUUCGUUUGUUCAACGAUUAAAAUCCU